CCUACGGGUGGCAGCAGUGAGGAAUAUUGGUCAAUGGGCGCGAGCCUGAACCAGCCAAGUAGCGUGAAGGAUGACUGCCCUACGGGUUGUAAACUUCUUUUAUAAAGGAAUAAAGUGAGGCACGUGUGCCGUUUUGUAUGUACUUUAUGAAUAAGGAUCGGCUAACUCCGUGCCAGCAGCCGCGGUAAUACGGAGGAUCCGAGCGUUAUCCGGAUUUAUUGGGUUUAAAGGGAUCGUAGCUGGGUUGUUAAGUCAGUUGUGAAAAUUUGGGGCUCAACCGUAAAAUUGCAAUUGAUACUGGCAGUCUUGAGUGAAGUUGAGGUAUGCGGAAUGCGUGGUGUAGCGGUGAAAUGCUUAGAUAUCACGCAGAACUCCGAUUGCGAAGGCAGCUUAC
RNAcentral lists this ribosomal RNA (394 nucleotides) under uncultured bacterium. Its description in RNAcentral is "partial 16S ribosomal RNA". It matches the Rfam family "Bacterial small subunit ribosomal RNA", at positions 338 to 729 of the family's 1533-position model. The record is from RNAcentral.